RNAcentral lists this unclassified non-coding RNA (386 nucleotides) under Hevea brasiliensis (rubber tree). Lineage: Eukaryota; Viridiplantae; Streptophyta; Magnoliopsida; Malpighiales; Euphorbiaceae. The record is from RNAcentral.
GCAAGAGCAGGAUAGAAAUAAUGCUACCGGAAGUAUGGGAAAUGUUUAUGUCACUGACGCCCAAGGUGAAGGAAGUAACCAAUCCAGGCCUGUGCGAGUCCAUGCGAGAGGGCCCAUUGACGGACUUGCUGGCAUUGGGCGUGGAACCACAUUUGUGUCUGCUGCAGCCUGUCCUCCAACACGCUAUGUUUUCUCCCGUGUUCCUUAUGUGGGAAACACAAAUAAUCAGCAGUCACACGCCAAUGGUGAAUCAGAAGCUAGAAUUGAUUUUAAUGCUGAUCUCUCUGGGGAUGGUCUGACAGCUUUGUUUGGACUCAGCCAAGGGAGCAACAUUGGUCAUGUGCACUCAGAGCAGUUAGAGAGAGUAUAUGAACCGGACGUGCAGA